Molecule: long non-coding RNA, 4371 nt
Filed under: Nicotiana tabacum (common tobacco)
Lineage: Eukaryota; Viridiplantae; Streptophyta; Magnoliopsida; Solanales; Solanaceae
Description: long non-coding RNA (NTAB_LNC015124)
Source: RNAcentral
GCCUCCGAAUGCCUCGAAUCUGGCCAUAAACAAUUCAAUAUAAUCACUACGGCUAAAGGAAUCAACUCCAUAAGAAAAUGCUAAGCUAUUAAUCAAAAGUCAAAAAUUGACUCAAAAGACGAUCCCCGGGCCCACGUCUCGAAAUUCGACAAAAAUCACAAAACCCGAAAGCCUAUUCAACCACGAGUUCAACCACACCAAAUUUAUCAAAAUUCGACACCAAAUCAUCACCCAAAUCCCCAAAUCAAAUUCUCCAAAUCCCUAGCCUCUAGCUCUCACUUUACACCUUAAAUACAUACUAACUAGGUGAAAAAAUCAAUGGGGAGGCAAGAUUAUUGGAUCGGGUUGCACGCCGCAAACAGAUUGUUAUUUGGAUCGGGUUGCACGCGCAACAUGCCAUAUUGGCUUUAUUAUUAUUUGGAUCGGAUUGCACGUCGCAACAUGUCAUAUUAGCUAAUGAUUAGCGUUUGGACAGGAUUUGCCCCUCCGGAGUCUGAAAUGCCAGCAAUGGGCGUAGGCACAGUGAUAUAUACAUAUGCUUUGUUGAGGGGCUUUUGAGCCAGACACCCGCACAGUGCUGAGUGAUUGUGUUUGUGAUGGCGAGGGGCAUUUGAGCCAGGCACCUUGAGUGUGCUAAAAGUGAGUGUACUUGAUGGUUUCACUGGGAUAUUAGUUACUUGACAUGUAUAUUUGACAUGUAGGUAUAUAGAUGCAUUUUUCUCAUGCUAGCUGAUAAACGGAUGAUAUUGACUUGACAUGUAUACUUGACAUGUAAACGUAAAGAUGUAUUUUUCUCAUGCUAAUUGGUAAACGAAAAUUCUUAUCUAGUGUUGUGAACUGGAACAAUACAGUUCUUUUGAUAAACUCAUGUUUAAUUGAUUUCGGUGGUAAUAUUUGAACUUUGACUGUCAUACUUGAAAAGUAUGUCUAUUUUCGUGUAAUUUUGAUCGAGCUGAGCAUAAUAUUUUUCUGAGUUGUGUACCAUUUCCGGCAUUAUUAUAUCUCAUGUUAUUAUCGAUUAUUGAUGUUGGACUCCGACUAUCUUCCGAGCCCAUCACUACUUUCAACUUAAGAAUAUGUUUGUUACUUAUUGAAUACAUGGGAUCGAUUGUACUCAUACAAUACUUCUGCACCUUUCGUGCAAAUCUUAAGCUGAUAUUGAUGUGUAUGGUGGGAGUUGGCAUUGAGGAUGUACCUGCUUUCCGGAUAUAACUGCCACUUGUCCUCGGUAGCUUUAGAUUUGCAAAUAUGUUGAUGUAUAUUUCGAACAGAUGAUGUACUUAUUUCGUACCAACUUUGUAAAUUCUAAGUCUUAGAAACUUAUGAUUUGUACUACAAAUCCUUGAAAUUUUUUAAUAGAAGUUCAGUUAUUGUACUCAUUGGCUCUUAUUAUUCUCAUUUGAGUUGUGUUGACUGUUAUUUGUCUUACCUAGUGGAUUGGGCUAGGUGUCAUCACAACUAGUUGGAUUUGGGGUCGUGAUAAGUUGGUAUCAGAGCUCUAGGUUCAUAGGUUCUACGAAUCAUGAGCAAGUGUCUAGUAGAGUCUUGUGGAUCGGUAUGAUGACAUUCAUAUCUAUCUUCGAGAGGCUAAUGGGCUUCUAGGAUAAACUUCUCAUCUUUCUUUUCUUAUAGUGCGAUAUAUUCGAUAUUCGUUGUGCAUCGACGACUUGUGAUUUCGGGGAUGAGGUGCGAGAUGUGUUCUCUGUGUUAUGGAGUUUGGCCAGUCUGGAGGACUUGAGGCCAGGUUAGACCACAGCUUGGGCUCGGUAGUUUCAGUUGUGUAACUAUGUGCUUUUAGACUUAUAUGUCCGUUAGUAUUUCUAGGAGUGAGAUUUAUGGCUCGAUGAGUGGUUGGAUGGCUAUAUGAUGAGUAUGAUGUUACUGCGGGAAGUGUUUAGGUGACUUGGAUGUGACGAGAAGAGUUUGCUUGGGAUGUGAAAAUGACUAUUGGGUGCUUGAUUUCUGUCUGGAUGUUGUCACACUCCUUUUUCCGAAAAGAAGUUUUCACUUUAAGUGACAUUAUUAAAAAGAGAUUAUUUAUUUAUUUGAGAGUCACCACUUGAAAUAAUUAUUAAGGUGUCCCAAGUCACUAGUUUUUAUUUCAAAUCCCAAUUCAAGGUAGUUUGACUCUGUUUAAGUUUGCGAAACACAAAAGAUCGAGUAAAGAAUUAUGUUAAUCCAGGAGAAGGUGUGAGGCACUCCCGAAUUCCGCAAUUUUAGCACUGUCUCUUUACAAUUAUCCUCACGUUAAUUAUCUGAUUAUUAUACGUUUUAAACCUUAUGUGCAUUUUAUCUUUUUACCGCGUAUGAUUAUAUUUUUUAUAUAAUAAUAGAUUUUAUUUGAAGUAAGUCACGAUGUCAUGCACUUGUUGUUUUAUAUGCAUCACAAAUCACGUGAAACACACCCGUGACUUGCAUCAUAUUUAUUCUAUUAUUAUUUGAAGUUAUAAGGUCAAGUCAAGCAAACGUGCAACAAUUAUGCCACGAGAACCGUACCCAUAACAGUGAUGAUUUAAUUAAUAAACGUGCCUAAGGCAACUACGAAUGUUCAUGAUUUGUUAUUCUACACUACUUUGAGAUUAAUGUAAGGUCAUAAAUUAUGGAUUAGCAUUGUGGAGAAAAGUAUACAACUACUUUACUUAUAUUCUGCCAUGAUUACACACUCUUACGUGGAUCUAGUUGAUCACAUGAGACUAAAGCUAUUUGAGAGUAAAUAAAUUGGGUCUGCUUGAUUAAAAUUCUGAUCGUGUAACUAAAGUCGACCAAUCAAACUAAGGGCAUAAGAUGACCCAAAUUUGGUUCUACAGUUAAAUACGACUUGAGCCUUUAAAGUAAAGAGGGCUCAGCUUGAAUCCAUUAUGGGAAUGGGCCUGAUGGAUAUUCGUGUGUCCAGGCCAUGGGAUGGGGUCUCAUGUAAUGGAGCUCAGGUGCUCCUAAUGUUAACAAGCUGUGAAAAUGGGCCCUAUUUAUUAUUGGGACCAAAUAAAGUACUACUGACCUCUGACAAGGUCUAAACAUUUAACACUAGUCGCCAAAUUACCAAUUACACUUUUAUAUAUAUAAAAUGGACACACAUGAUUUAUUUGCGUAAAAAAUUGCACCAAUUCAUUCCAUAUUCAGAUUUAUGAUGUUAAACUAGCCUGUUCGAGUUAUGAAAAUGCUUCAGAUCACAGACUAUCUCCAACUAGACAAGGUGUUUGCGGUAAGUUCCAUAAGCAUGUGUGGGUGACAACUAUCUGAACGAGUGAGACAAUUUGAAAUAAUAACCAGAUCUGCAAAACACAACUUUCAGCACAAACAUUUCCAUGAGUUUAAACAAAACAUUUAAUAACUUGCAUGGAUCUGUGAAAAUCAGGUAGAAUUUUACAUCUAAACACUCGAACAUUUGAUGAGCUCAGACUACUGAUUUUCAGCAAAGAACAACAAUUUUAGAAGCUCAAUCAACCUUCAGAAUUCCAGAAAUAGUGUGAUAAACUAAUGAAGAAUGAAGAUUUUGGGAACUACAGAUAUGAGCUGAAAACUUUUUGUAUUGCAGAAAACUUCUCUCAGCUUUUUUUUGUAUGUUCGUGAAUGAGUGUGUAUUUUCAGAGGUGCAUGAAUGAGAAAAGUGUGAGUGAGCAACCCCUUACAUAGAACAGAUUGUGUUCAGAGCCUCUUUCAACAAAUAAAAAACAACAAACAUCAUCCAAAUCUUGACCAAAAAUAUUAGAAUUUAAGGAAACAUCGGAUUUUAAAUAAUGCGAUUGAAACUAAUUGAUACUAUUAUAAACAGUUGCAACAAAUUAUAAAAAAAAUUAAUUUCCAAGAGUAAGUACAAAUAGUUCCCAUGCGACUGAAGAGAAAACAAAAAACUAACAGAUCAAAAUGAUUUUAAAGAAAACAAACGAAGAAGAAGAUAAAAGAUUACCAUCUGAGGCCGAACUUAGCCGGAACGAGAAAAGGAGAAGUUGGCGAUGGUCAAUAGCAUUUGCCCGGACUCCGGUGGCCAUGCAAUGAAUUGAAAUUAGCAUCAACCGAUUGCUCUUCUCAAGAGCAACCGAUUGAUGUCGAUUUGACUACUCAAACUGAUCAAGAUUGGAGAAAAUCAAGAAAUGGAGCAAUUUUAGGCUUUUGGUCAUAUUUAGAUCUACUAAUCGAGCAAUCCUGGGGUUUUGUGGUGGAACUAAUUGCAGGGGGAUAUAGGGAGGUGACAGGGAGUAUAAGGUGAUGACUUGGGGUUAUUUGGUGGUGCUCCUUCGCCGUGAGGCGAUUUUCGGCGGCGGAAAUGGGCGUUUGAUGGCGAGGAGAAGGGAGUGUAUUAGAGACGGGUUUUUGGGGGGAGCGGGUAGCACCGGGUUUCAGACAAUUUUAAAGGAUGGGGCGGUGAGUUCC